CACGGGGGGAGCAAGCGUUGUUCGGAAUCACUGGGCGUAAAGGGCGUGUAGGCGGUCAAGUAAGUGGAAUGUGAAAUCCCCCGGCUUACCCGGGGACCUGCAUCCCAAACUGCUUGGCUUGAGUACGGGAGAGGAUGAGGGAAUUCCUGGUGUAGCGGUGAAAUGCGUAGAUAUCAGGAGGAACACCGGUGGCGAAGGCGCUCAGCUGGGCCGAUACUGACGCUGAGGCGCGAAAGCUAGGGGAGCAAACGGG
This 253-nucleotide ribosomal RNA is filed under the name uncultured bacterium. Its description in RNAcentral is "partial 16S ribosomal RNA". It matches the Rfam family "Bacterial small subunit ribosomal RNA", at positions 524 to 776 of the family's 1533-position model. The record is from RNAcentral.